ACAUCGACGAUCUUCAAUCGGAGCUCCUCCUCCGUCUCCUACGAGGCAUCCACAACAUCGACGAUCUUCAAUCGGAGCUCCUCCUCCGUCUCCUACGAGAUCCCCAAUCACUGUCCUGAGAUCUCCAGUCGGACCUCCCCCGCAGCAUCCACAAUGACGACGAGCUCGAUCUCCAGAUCCGCAGCUUCCAGAUCCGCCAAUCACUGUCCUGAGAUCUCCAGUCGGACCUCCCCCGCGGCAUCCACAACGACGAUGAGCUCGAUCUCCAGAUCCGCAGCUUCCAGAUCCGCCAUCCCCAACUCAGGUUAUCCAUGGCUAGAAAAAGUUUUUAUGUUGUGAAGAGAGGACGACGAUGUGGUAUUUUUAAUAAUUGGGAGGAAUGCAAAUCUCAGGUAGAUAAGUUCCCAAAUGCCUCCUACAAAGGGUAUGCAACAUACGAAGAGGCUUUGAUUGAAUGGGAGAAGCACACACUCGCUCAUGAUUCAACAUCCAGCUCGAGGCCUGUCCAAACAUCUGUUUAUGAUCAAGAACAAAGAUAUCCAGUGAGCCAUAAUCUGGAUGUGGACAAGGAAAAACUUGGGACAACUUCUAUUUUCUCUAUCUAUGCUUUUGUAUUAGGUUCAUUGUUUACAAUACUAGUAUUUCUAGUAUGUAUCGUUGCGGUAUUUGUUGGUUUCUUCAUUGCAAAAAACAUGUGAUGUAAUUUAUGGUGUUGUAUUUGUAGUAUGUAUCGUUGCCUUUUCCACUUGUGUGCAUCUGGUGUUCAUGUUUUAACUCUUUAUACAUGGAAAGCAUUAUCUUUCCUGUUA
Long non-coding RNA from Asparagus officinalis (garden asparagus), 809 nucleotides. RefSeq lists it as uncharacterized. NCBI's taxonomy places the organism in Eukaryota, Viridiplantae, Streptophyta, Magnoliopsida, Asparagales, Asparagaceae. The record is from RefSeq and is a predicted model, not a curated record. The transcript is spliced from 2 exons.